GACGAACGCUGGCGGCGUGCUUAACACAUGCAAGUCGAACGGAAAGGCCCCCUUGUGGGGUACUCGAGUGGCGAACGGGUGAGUAACACGUGAGUAACCUACCCUUGACUUUGGGAUAACUUCAGGAAACUGGGGCUAAUACCGGAUAGGAGCUCCUGCUGCAUGGUGGGGGUUGGAAAGUUUCGGCGGUUGGGGAUGGACUCGCGGCUUAUCAGCUUGUUGGUGGGGUAGUGGCUCACCAAGGCUUUGACGGGUAGCCGGCCUGAGAGGGUGACCGGCCACAUUGGGACUGUGAUACGGCCCAGACUCCUACGGGAGGCAGCAGUGGGGAAUAUUGCACAAUGGGCGGAAGCCUGAUGCAGCAACGCCGCGUGCGGGAUGACGGCCUUCGGGUUGUAAACCGCUUUCGCCUGUGACGAAGCGUGAGUGACGGUAAUGGGUAAAGAAGCACCGGCUAACUACGUG
RNAcentral lists this ribosomal RNA (465 nucleotides) under uncultured bacterium. Its description in RNAcentral is "partial 16S ribosomal RNA". It matches the Rfam family "Bacterial small subunit ribosomal RNA", at positions 28 to 507 of the family's 1533-position model. The record is from RNAcentral.